GGCACGCCUAACACAUGCAAGUCGAACGGAGUAGCAAUACUUAGUGGCAGACGGGUGAGUAACAUGUAGGUAUCUUCCCUUUGGCCUGGAAUAACACGAGGAAACUUGUGCUAAUACUGGAUAAGUCUUUACGGAGAAAGCUUUAUGCACCAUUGGAUGAGCCUGCACUUGAUUAGUUUGUUGGUGGGGUAAAGGCCUACCAAGACUGUGAUCAAUAGCUGAUUUGAGAGGAUGAUCAGCCACAUUGGGACUGAGACACGGCCCAAACUCCUACGGGAGGCAGCAGUGGGGAAUCUUGCACAAUGGAGGAAACUCUGAUGCAGCGAUGCCGCGUGAGUGAAGAAGGCCUUUGGGUUGUAAAGCUCUUUCGUCGGGGAAGAAAAUGACUGUACCCGAAUAAGAAGGUCCGGCUAACUUCGUGCCAGCAGCCGCGGUAAUACGAAGGGACCUAGCGUAGUUCGGAAUUACUGGGCUUAAAGAGUUCGUAGGUUGUUGAAAAAGUUGGUGGUGAAAUCCCAGAGCUUAACUCUGGAACUGCCAUCAAAACUUUUCAGCUAGAGUUUGAUAGAGGAAAGCAGAAUUUCUAGUGUAGAGGUGAAAUUCGUAGAUAUUAGAAAGAAUACCAAUUGCGAAGGCAGCUUUCUGGAUCAUUACUGACACUGAGGAACGAAAGCAUGGGUAGCGAAGAGGAUUAGAUACCCUCGUAGUCCAUGCCGUAAACGAUGUGUGUUAGACGUUGGAAAUUUAUUUUCAGUGUCGCAGUGAAAACGAUAAACACACCGCCUG
Molecule: ribosomal RNA, 786 nt
Filed under: uncultured Pelagibacteraceae bacterium
Lineage: Bacteria; Pseudomonadati; Pseudomonadota; Alphaproteobacteria; Candidatus Pelagibacterales; Candidatus Pelagibacteraceae
Description: bacterial SSU rRNA
Rfam family: Bacterial small subunit ribosomal RNA
Source: RNAcentral